RNAcentral lists this ribosomal RNA (433 nucleotides) under uncultured bacterium. Its description in RNAcentral is "partial 16S ribosomal RNA". It matches the Rfam family "Bacterial small subunit ribosomal RNA", at positions 29 to 507 of the family's 1533-position model. The record is from RNAcentral.
AACGAACGCUGGCGGCAUGCCUAACACAUGCAAGUCGAACGAGACCUUCGGGUCUAGUGGCGCACGGGUGCGUAACGCGUGGGAACCUGCCCUUAGGUUCGGAAUAACUCCCCGAAAGGGGUGCUAAUACCGGAUAAUGUCUUCGGACCAAAGAUUUAUCGCCUUUGGAUGGGCCCGCGUUGGAUUAGCUAGUUGGUAGGGUAAGAGCCUACCAAGGCGACGAUCCAUAGCUGGUCUGAGAGGAUGAUCAGCCACACUGGGACUGAGACACGGCCCAGACUCCUACGGGAAGCAGCAGUGGGGAAUAUUGGACAAUGGGCGAAAGCCUGAUCCAGCAAUCCCGCGUGAGUGAUGAAGGCCUUAGGGUUGUAAAGCUCUUUUACCCGGGAUGAUAAUGACAGUACCGGGAGAAUAAGCUCCGGCUAACUCCGUG